RNAcentral lists this ribosomal RNA (482 nucleotides) under uncultured bacterium. RNAcentral's name for it is "partial 16S ribosomal RNA". It matches the Rfam family "Bacterial small subunit ribosomal RNA", at positions 28 to 507 of the family's 1533-position model. The record is from RNAcentral.
GAUGAACGCUAGCGGCAGGCCUAAUACAUGCAAGUCGAACGAGAUUAAGAGGCUUGCUUCUUAUGAAAGUGGCGCACGGGUGCGUAACGCGUAUGCAACCUACCUUAAUCAGGGGGAUAGCCCGAAGAAAUUCGGAUUAAGACCGCAUAAAAACACAGGAUAGCAUUAUCCAUUGUUCAAAUAUUUAUAGGAUUAAGAUGGGCAUGCGUGUCAUUAGCUAGUUGGCGGGGUAACGGCCCACCAAGGCGACGAUGACUAGGGGAUCUGAGAGGAUGACCCCCCACACUGGUACUGAGACACGGACCAGACUCCUACGGGAGGCAGCAGUAAGGAAUAUUGGUCAAUGGAGGGAACUCUGAACCAGCCAUGCCGCGUGCAGGAAGACAGCCCUCUGGGUCGUAAACUGCUUUUAUUCGGGAAUAAACCUUUCUACGUGUAGGAAGCUGAAUGUACCGAAGGAAUAAGGAUCGGCUAACUCCGUG